Molecule: ribosomal RNA, 497 nt
Filed under: uncultured bacterium
Lineage: Bacteria
Description: partial 16S ribosomal RNA
Rfam family: Bacterial small subunit ribosomal RNA
Source: RNAcentral
GAUGAACGCUGGCGGCGUGCCUAAUACAUGCAAGUCGAGCGAACGGACGAGAAGCUUGCUUCUCUGAUGUUAGCGGCGGACGGGUGAGUAACACGUGGAUAACCUACCUAUAAGACUGGGAUAACUUCGGGAAACCGGAGCUAAUACCGGAUGAUAUUUUGAACCGCAUGGUUCAAAAGUGAAAGACGGUCUUGCUGUCACUUAUAGAUGGAUCCGCGCUGCAUUAGCUAGUUGGUAAGGUAACGGCUUACCAAGGCAACGAUGCAUAGCCGACCUGAGAGGGUGAUCGGCCACACUGGAACUGAGACACGGUCCAGACUCCUACGGGAGGCAGCAGUAGGGAAUCUUCCGCAAUGGGCGAAAGCCUGACGGAGCAACGCCGCCUGAGUGAUGAAGGUCUUCGGAUCGUAAAACUCUGUUAUUAGGGAAGAACAUAUGUGUAAGUAACUGUGCACAUCUUGACGGUACCUAAUCAGAAAGCCACGGCUAACUACGUG